ACGAACGCUGGCGGCGUGCUUAACACAUGCAAGUCGAACGGAAAGGCCCUGCUUGCCGGGUACUCGAGUGGCGAACGGGUGAGUAACACGUGGGUGAUCUGCCCUGCACUUCGGGAUAAGCUUGGGAAACUGGGUCUAAUACCGGAUAGGAGCCAUCUUUAGUGUGGUGGUUGGAAAGUUUUUUCGGUGUAGGAUGAGCUCGCGGCCUAUCAGCUUGUUGGUGGGGUAAUGGCCUACCAAGGCGGCGACGGGUAGCCGGCCUGAGAGGGUGUACGGCCACAUUGGGACGGAGAUACGGCCCAGACUCCUACGGGAGGCAGCAGUGGGGAAUAUUGCACAAUGGGCGCAAGCCUGAUGCAGCGACGCCGCGUGGGGGAUGAAGGCCUUCGGGUUGUAAACUCCUUUCGCUAGGGACGAAGCUUUGUUGUGACGGUACCUAGAGAAGAAGCACCGGCUAACUACGUG
This 465-nucleotide ribosomal RNA is filed under the name uncultured bacterium. Its description in RNAcentral is "partial 16S ribosomal RNA". It matches the Rfam family "Bacterial small subunit ribosomal RNA", at positions 29 to 507 of the family's 1533-position model. The record is from RNAcentral.